Molecule: ribosomal RNA, 404 nt
Filed under: uncultured Hyphomicrobiales bacterium
Lineage: Bacteria; Pseudomonadati; Pseudomonadota; Alphaproteobacteria; Hyphomicrobiales
Description: bacterial SSU rRNA
Rfam family: Bacterial small subunit ribosomal RNA
Source: RNAcentral
GGGGAAUAUUGGACAAUGGGCGAAAGCCUGAUCCAGCCAUGCCGCGUGAGUGAUGAAGGUCUUCGGAUUGUAAAGCUCUUUUGGCGGGGACGAUAAUGACGGUACCCGCAGAAUAAGCCCCGGCUAACUUCGUGCCAGCAGCCGCGGUAAUACGAAGGGGGCUAGCGUUGCUCGGAAUCACUGGGCGUAAAGCGCACGUAGGCGGGCUUUUAAGUCGGAGGUGAAAUCCCAGGGCUCAACCCUGGAACUGCCUUCGAUACUGAAAGUCUUGAGUCCGGAAGAGGUAAGUGGAACUCCGAGUGUAGAGGUGAAAUUCGUAGAUAUUCGGAAGAACACCAGUGGCGAAGGCGGCUUACUGGUCCGGUACUGACGCUGAGGUGCGAAAGCGUGGGGAGCAAACAGGA